GAUCGCACGGCCCAGCGCCGGCGACGUGUCUUUCGAGUGUCUGCCUUAUCAACUUGUUGGUAGUGUAUGUGACUACCACGGUGCUCACGGGUAACGGAGGAUCAGGGUUCGACUCCGGAGAAGGGGCCUGAGAAAUGGCCACUACGUCUAAGGAUGGCAGCAGGCGCGCAAAUUACCCACUCUCGGCACGAGGAGGUAGUGACGAAAAAUAACGGGGCCGACCCUUCGGGGCUGGCGACCGGAAUGGGUACAACCUAAACCCUUUGACGAGUAUCUAUGAGAGGGCAAGUCUGGUGCCAGCAGCCGCGGUAAUUCCAGCUCUCAGAAUGCAUAGAACCAUUGCUGCGGUUAAAAAGCUCGUAGUUGGAUUUCAGCGCGGGCGCUCGGACGUCGCUUCGGCGGCGCUCCGAUCGUCCGUGCUUUACGCCGGUCCGCACCGACACCUCCGGGUGUCCGGUCGGUCGGCGAGUUUACUUUGAACAAAUCAGAGUGCUCAAGACAGGCUCAACGCCUGAAUGCUCGUGCAUGGAAUAAUGGAAGAGGGCCACGGUCCGAUUUCGUUGGUCAAGCGGCCGAGGCAAUGAUCAAUAGGGGCGGACGGGGGCAUUCGUACUUCUGCGUGAGAGGUGAAAUUUUUGGACCGCAGGAAGACGCACGACAGCGAAGGCAAUUGCCAAGCACGUCCCCGUUAAUCAAGAACGAAAGUCAGAGGAUCGAAGGCGAUUAGAUACCGCCCUAGUUCUGACCGUAAACGAUGCCAACUGGCGAUCCGCCGGCGAGCGCAAGUUCCCGGUGGGGAGCCUCCCGGAAACGAAAGUCUUCCGGUUCCGGGGGAAGUAUGGUUGCAAAGCUGAAACUUAAAGGAAUUGACGGAAGGGCACCACCAGGAGUGGAGCCUGCGGCUUAAUUUGACUCAACACGGGGAACCUCACCCGGGCAGGACACCGUCGGGAUUGACAGACAGCAGCCCUUUCAUGAUUCGGUGAGUGGUGGUGCAUGGCCGUUCUUAGUUCGUGGAGUGAUCAGUCAGGUUAAUUCCGGUAACGAGCGAGACUCCAGCCUACUA
RNAcentral lists this ribosomal RNA (1066 nucleotides) under Malenchus geraerti. Its description in RNAcentral is "bacterial SSU rRNA". It matches the Rfam family "Eukaryotic small subunit ribosomal RNA", at positions 267 to 1353 of the family's 1831-position model. The record is from RNAcentral. Lineage: Eukaryota; Metazoa; Nematoda; Chromadorea; Rhabditida; Tylenchidae.